UACAUGGGGUGCAAACGUUGCUCGGAAUUAUUGGGCGUAAAGCGCGCGUAGGCGGUUACUUAAGUCGGAUGUGAAAGCCCUCGGCUUAACUGAGGAAGUGCAUCCGAAACUGAGUAGCUAGAGUACGAAAGAGGGUCGCGGAAUUCCCGGUGUAGAGGUGAAAUUCGUAGAUAUCGGGAGGAACACCGGUGGCGAAGGCGGUUCUCUGGGCCUGUACUGACGCUGAGGAACGAAAGCGUGGGGAGCGAACAGG
RNAcentral lists this ribosomal RNA (253 nucleotides) under uncultured bacterium. RNAcentral describes it as "partial 16S ribosomal RNA". It matches the Rfam family "Bacterial small subunit ribosomal RNA", at positions 524 to 776 of the family's 1533-position model. The record is from RNAcentral.